This 497-nucleotide ribosomal RNA is filed under the name uncultured bacterium. RNAcentral's name for it is "partial 16S ribosomal RNA". It matches the Rfam family "Bacterial small subunit ribosomal RNA", at positions 28 to 507 of the family's 1533-position model. The record is from RNAcentral.
GAUGAACGCUGGCGGCGUGCCUAAUACAUGCAAGUCGAGCGAACGGACGAGAAGUUUGCUUCUCUGAUGUUAGCGGCGGACGGGUGAGUAACACGUGGAUAACCGACCUAUAAGACUGGGAUAACUUAGGGAAACCGGAGCUAAUACCGGAUAAUAUUUUGAACCGCAUGGUUCAAAAGUGAAAGACGGUCUUGCUGUCACUGAUAGAUGGAUCCGCGCUGCAUUAGCUAGUUGGCAAGGUAACGGCUUACCAAGGCAACGAUGCAUAGCCGACCUGAGAGGGUGAUCGGCCACACUGGAACUGAGACACGGUCCAGACUCCUACGGGAGGCAGCAGUAGGGAAUCUUCCGCAAUGGGCGAAAGCCUGACGGAGCAACGCCGCGUGAGUGAUGAAGGUCUUCGGAUCGUAAAACUCUGUUAUUAGGGAAGAACAUAUGUGUAAGUAACUGUGCACAUCUUGACGGUACCUAAUCAGAAAGCCACGGCUAACUACGUG